GACGAACGCUGGCGGCGUGCUUAACACAUGCAAGUCGAACGGUGAUGCUCCAGCUUGCUGGAGUGGAUCAGUGGCGAACGGGUGAGUAACACGUGAGCAACCUGCCCCAGACUCUGGAAUAAGCGCUGGAAACGGCGUCUAAUACUGGAUACGAAACUGGCACGCAUGGGCAUGGGUUGGAAAGUUUUUCGGUUUGGGAUGUGGUCGCGUCCUAGCAGCUUGUUGGUGGGGUAAUGGAUCACCAAGUCGACGACGGGUAGGCGGCGUGAGAGGGCGAGCGGCGACACUGGGACUGAGGCGCGGCCGAGACUGCUACGGGGGGCAGCGGUGGGGAAUAGUGGACAAUGGGCGAAAGCCUGAUCCAGCAACGCCGCGUGAGGGAUGACGGCCUUCGGGGUGUACACCUCUUUCAGCACCGACGAAGCGACCGGUCGGGUGGUGACGGUAGGUACAGAAGAAGGACCGGCCAACUACGUG
Molecule: ribosomal RNA, 477 nt
Filed under: uncultured bacterium
Lineage: Bacteria
Description: partial 16S ribosomal RNA
Rfam family: Bacterial small subunit ribosomal RNA
Source: RNAcentral